GGUGAGUAAUACGUGAGUAACCUGCCCUUGACUCUGGGAUAAGCCUGGGAAACUGGGUCUAAUACUGGAUACUACCUCUUACCGCAUGGUGGGUGGUGGAAAGGGUUUUACUGGUUUUGGAUGGGCUCACGGCCUAUCAGCUUGUUGGUGGGGUAAUGGCUCACCAAGGCGACGACGGGUAGCCGGCCUGAGAGGGUGACCGGCCACACUGGGACUGAGACACGGCCCAGACUCCUACGGGAGGCAGCAGUGGGGAAUAUUGCACAAUGGGCGGAAGCCUGAUGCAGCGACGCCGCGUGAGGGAUGACGGCCUUCGGGUUGUAAACCUCUUUCAGUAGGGAAGAAGCGAGAGUGACGGUACCUGCAGAAGAAGCGCCGGCUAACUACGUGCCAGCAGCCGCGGUAAUACGUAGGGCGCAAGCGUUGUCCGGAAUUAUUGGGCGUAAAGAGCUCGUAGGCGGUUUGUCGCGUCUGCUGUGAAAGCCCGGGGCUCAACCCCGGGUCUGCAGUGGGUACGGGCAGACUAGAGUGCAGUAGGGGAGACUGGAAUUCCUGGUGUAGCGGUGAAAUGCGCAGAUAUCAGGAGGAACACCGAUGGCGAAGGCAGGUCUCUGGGCUGUUACUGACGCUGAGGAGCGAAAGCAUGGGGAGCGAACAGGAUUAGAUACCCUGGUAGUCCAUGCCGUAAACGUUGGGCACUAGGUGUGGGGGACAUUCCACGUUUUCCGCGCCGUAGCUAACGCAUUAAGUGCCCCGCCUGGGGAGUACGGCCGCAAGGCUAAAACUCAAAGGAAUUGACGGGGGCCCGCACAAGCGGCGGAGCAUGCGGAUUAAUUCGAUGCAACGCGAAGAACCUUACCAAGGCUUGACAUUCACCGGACCGCCCCAGAGAUGGGGUUUCCCUUCGGGGCUGGUGGACAGGUGGUGCAUGGUUGUCGUCAGCUCGUGUCGUGAGAUGUUGGGUUAAGUCCCGCAACGAGCGCAACCCUCGUUCUAUGUUGCCAGCACGUGAUGGUGGGGACUCAUAGGAGACUGCCGGGGUCAACUCGGAGGAAGGUGGGGAUGACGUCAAAUCAUCAUGCCCCUUAUGUCUUGGGCUUCACGCAUGCUACAAUGGCCGGUACAAAGGGUUGCGAUACUGUGAGGUGGAGCUAAUCCCAAAAAGCCGGUCUCAGUUCGGAUUGAGGUCUGCAACUCGACCUCAUGAAGUCGGAGUCGCUAGUAAUCGCAGAUCAGCAACGCUGCGGUGAAUACGUUCCCGGGCCUUGUACACACCGCCCGUCAAGUCACGAAAGUUGGUAACACCC
Molecule: ribosomal RNA, 1307 nt
Filed under: Kocuria rosea
Lineage: Bacteria; Bacillati; Actinomycetota; Actinomycetes; Micrococcales; Micrococcaceae
Description: bacterial SSU rRNA
Rfam family: Bacterial small subunit ribosomal RNA
Source: RNAcentral